RNAcentral lists this long non-coding RNA (519 nucleotides) under Hordeum vulgare. Its description in RNAcentral is "long non-coding RNA (HVUL_LNC007390)". Lineage: Eukaryota; Viridiplantae; Streptophyta; Magnoliopsida; Poales; Poaceae. The record is from RNAcentral.
UCACCGUCGUGCUCACCAUCCUAUCUUGCUUCUAGCGCGCUACACCUUCGGACAAGCCACCGAUCUCCUCCAUUUUCACCAUAUGGUGAUCCAGGUUGACCAACACAUGUACGUAGGUGAUCUAUUUCUUCCACUUAGUUUGUUCUAAUCGGCUGGAGUAAUUUUUUCGUUCAGAUAUAUAGAUUUUGUAGGAUGUUUGGUUGAUAGCAUAGACCACAUCGAUCUUCUUCCAAUCAAUAUAUAACCGAUUGAUGCAGGAAAAAAAACAUUGCUGUGUUAAUAUAGUAUUGUUUCGCUUGUUUCCAUGCUUCCCACAGAUGGGGUUUCCAAAAUGCCGUGCAUAUGCUUGUGCUGUCCAAGUCUUCUUUCAUAGUCACCUUAUUAUCGGUGAACUAGACUUGUAGGGGACAAAAACAUGCAUUGCCAUUUCCUCAACCGCUCUAGAUUUCAUUUUUCUCCGAUUUUGUCAAUUGCGAGGUACAAAUCUAUUGUAACAACCCGAGAACGACAUACCACACU